RNAcentral lists this ribosomal RNA (326 nucleotides) under uncultured Deinococcota bacterium. RNAcentral's name for it is "bacterial SSU rRNA". It matches the Rfam family "Bacterial small subunit ribosomal RNA", at positions 28 to 351 of the family's 1533-position model. Lineage: Bacteria; Thermotogati; Deinococcota. The record is from RNAcentral.
GAUGAACGCUGGCAGUGUGCCUUAGACAUGCAAGUCGAACGAAGCACCGUGAACCUUCGGGGAUCGGUGACUGAGUGGCGAACGGGUGAGUAACACGUGGGUGACGUACCUCUUAGUGCGGCAUAACCCUGGGAAACUGGGACUAAUUCCGCAUGUGCUGCGACCUUUCUGGGGUUUCAGUAAAGAUUCAUCGCUAAGAGAUCGGCCCGCGGUCCAUCAGCUAGUUGGUAGGGUAAUGGCCUACCAAGGCGACGACGGAUAGCCGACCUGAGAGGGUGACCGGCCACAGGGGCACUGAGACACGGGCCCACUCCUACGGGAGGCUG